RNAcentral lists this microRNA precursor (96 nucleotides) under Paramuricea clavata. Lineage: Eukaryota; Metazoa; Cnidaria; Anthozoa; Malacalcyonacea; Plexauridae. The record is from RNAcentral.
UGGGGUUAAAAUGCGGAACGGAACGAAUAUGAGGUUAAAACUUAAUUUAAAACCCAUAUCCGUUCCGUUCCGCAUUUUAACCCCAUAUCCGUUCCG